Molecule: RNA transcript, 3337 nt
Organism: Salvia miltiorrhiza (redroot sage)
Lineage: Eukaryota; Viridiplantae; Streptophyta; Magnoliopsida; Lamiales; Lamiaceae
Gene name: probable inactive ATP-dependent zinc metalloprotease FTSHI 4, chloroplastic
Exons: 19
Source: RefSeq, a predicted model, not a curated record
CGCCCCGUCGCCCAUUCUCCCUGCCGUGCGUCGGCCGCCACAGUCAGCCUCGCGGCUCAACCACCUAAACGGCUCAUGAUGGAUUCAUUGUUAGAGUUGAGUUAGCGAAAUUCGACCGGUUAUUUAUCGUGCGCUUUCAAACUCUUACCAAAGGUUUUGUUGUUGGCACGAAGAUGAAGUCGGGAGUUUGACACUGUUCAAAAUUAUCUGAAACUCUGCAGAAAAGUGCAAAAGAUGCACCGUUGCAGCGCUUUGAACCCAUCACUAGAUAGUUUUGCGCCAAAACCCUCGUGCAUUUCUCCCUCUUCAAAUGGUCCACUAACUCAAAAUGAUAGAUGGCCGAAAUUCUUGUUUCUUCGGCGAUUUGCUUCUACAGAUGCGCGGUUCCAGUAUGCUAGACGCGCCAGAAGACUCAGAAUUAAUGGUUCGUCAAACUCCAGCUCGAAACCGGUACAAGGAGAAACCGACUCCUCCCAACAGCUAUUCGAGAGUUUGAAGGAAGUUGAGAGAGAACGUAUGAACAAAUUGGAAGAAUUUGAAAGGAAGGCGAAUGUUCAAUUGGAGAGGCAGCUCAUGAUGGCAUCAGAGUGGAGCAGGGCACUUUUGACGAUGAAGGGAAAACUGAAAGGAACAGAGUGGGACCCUGUGAAUUCUCAUUCCAUAGACUUCAGUGACUUUAAGAGACUUCUUGAUUCAAACAAUGUCCGGUUCAUGGAGUACUCUAAUUAUGGGCAGACAGUCUCAGUGAUUCUACCUUAUAAAAAGGAAGGGAAAACUGAAAGUUCAGAAGGGGACAGCAAAAAGGAAAUUGUUUUCCGGCGCCAUGUUGUUGAACGUAUGCCAAUCGACUGCUGGAAUGAUGUUUGGAGAAAGUUGCAUCAGCAGCUUGUUAAUGUUGAUGUCCUGGAUGUGAACAACGUUCCUGCAGAAGUCUAUUCAAGUGUUGCCACUGCAGUUGUGUGGGCAAUGAGGCUAGCUCUUGCUGUUGGUCUGUAUGUCUGGAUAGACAGUAUGAUGAGACCAAUAUAUGCAAAGUUAAUACCUUGUGAUCUUGGUUCUCCUCCUAAAAAAAUAACAUUGCAGCCACUCAAGCGGGAGGCCCUUGGCUCAUUGGGGAAGAGUCGGGCAAAAUUCAUAUCAGCCGAAGAAAAAACUGGUGUUACAUUUGAUGACUUUGCCGGCCAAGAAUAUAUCAAGAGAGAGCUGCAAGAGAUAGUAAGGAUACUGAAAAAUGACGAGGAAUUCCAAGACAAAGGUAUCUAUUGUCCAAAAGGUGUGCUCCUUCAUGGCCCUCCUGGUACUGGUAAAACACUUCUUGCAAAAGCUAUAGCUGGUGAGGCAGGCCUUCCAUUUUUUGCAGCUAAUGGUACAGAUUUCGUUGAGAUGUUUGUUGGUGUGGCCGCUUCUCGUGUGAAAGAUCUUUUUGCUAGUGCGAGAUCGUUUGCCCCUUCCAUAAUUUUCAUUGAUGAGAUAGAUGCAAUUGGCAGCAAACGUGGAGGACCUGAUAUUGGAGGGGGUGGUGCCGAAAGGGAACAAGGACUGCUUCAAAUACUGACAGAAAUGGAUGGUUUUAAAGAAUCAACAUCACAGGUGUUAAUCAUUGGUGCAACAAAUAGACUGGACAUUCUUGAUCCUGCUCUUCUGCGAAAAGGGCGGUUUGACAAGAUAAUUCGUGUUGGAUUACCAUCAAAAGAUGGUAGAUUUGCCAUAUUGAGGGUACAUGCUCGAAAUAAGUAUUUUCGUUCAGAGGAAGAGAAGGAGACUCUACUUCAGGAAAUUGCAGAUCUGACAGAAGAUUUUACUGGAGCUGAAUUGCAAAAUAUACUGAAUGAAGCUGGGAUUUUGACUGCUAGAAAGGACUUGGACUACAUCGGACGGGAGGAACUGCUUGAGGCCUUGAAGCGGCAACAAGGCACUUUUGAGACGGGUCAGGAAGACAGUACCGAAGUCCCUGAGGAGCUAAAAUUGAGAUUGGCAUAUCGAGAGGCAGCUGUUGCUGUUCUUGCAUGUUACAUUCCAGAUCCAUAUCGUCCCUUUGUUAAUACAGAUAUUAAUUCCAUACAGAGUCAGCCAAAUAUGCGCUACGAAGAGACAUCGGGCAGGGUAUUUCAGCGAAAGGCAGAUUAUGUGGACUCUAUAGUACGCGCAUGUGCUCCCAGAGUAAUUGAAGAAGAGGUAUUUGGAAUUGAUAAUUUAUGCUGGAUUUCGGCAAAAGCCACAUUAGAAGCUUCCAGACGUGCUGAGUUCUUGAUUUUGCAAACUGGAAUGACGGCUUUUGGGAAGGCCAUCUACAGAUAUCAAAAUGAUCUUGUGCCUAAUCUAGCUGCCAAACUCGAAGCACUUAGAGAAGAAUACAUCCGUUUUGCUGUUGAGAAAUGCUCAACUGCAUUAAGAGAACACCGUCCUGCUGUGGAAAAGAUAACAGAUGUCCUACUGGAGCAGGGAGAGAUAAAAGCAGAUGAAAUUUGGAAAAUUUACAAUGAUUCACCUCGAUUGCCUCAGCCUGCUGUGAGGCAACUGGAUGAAUAUGGAGCCCUUAUACACGCCGGACGUUGGGGAGUUCAUGGUGUGUCGCUUCCAGGGAGGGUAACUUUUGCCCCUGGGAAUGUGGGAUUCUCGACAUUUGGUGCACCUCGUCCGAUGGAGACUCAAAUCAUUAGUGAUGACACGUGGAAGUUAGUAGAUGCAAUUUGGGAUAAAAGGGUCGAGGAAAUAAAGAAUGAAGCCUCUAUAGAAGUUGAAGAAGAGAAAGAGAAGCCAGAGCUUUUGAUGGCCAGCCAUUUCCUAUAAGAUUGAAAUUCGUUUUUGUCAUUUUGAUGCCGGCAAAUACAAUCAUAUAACAUGUCUGCCAUGCUAGUUUUACCGUAGUUCGUAUACAGUCACAGUUGGGCAUCUAAUCAAGGAUUGUUCAAUCAGCUGGGUUACAACGUCAACUAACAGCAAUCAGGUGAUUUCUUUGGUGAAGAGUAUUCAGCUUACAGGCUAUAAUUUUUCGAGUUGUUUUAUAAGCUAAGGCGUUUUUUUUCUGGCAGAUGUGAAAUGAGAAAGCUCUUUGCUUAAAAUUAAAAAAUUGGGUGAUGGAGAAUUGUAUAUCUAGUGAGAGAUUUGAGUCAUAGAGGGAAAAAUGAGAAACUAUUAUUUAAAAAAAGAAAAUGGAUUCAUGUUUCCAAUCAAUGAACCUUGGAUGCACUGGAAAGAAGAAGUUUGAAGAAAUGGAGUCAUACGCUUUGCGAAGACGCAGUUUAUGGCUGCAUUUGCUUUUCAUGUCAUAUUUCCAAACAACUUCUUGUGGCAUAUAAUAUUAUCCAUAAUACACGAUCCGAAGUGUAUUUCAACA